RNAcentral lists this transfer RNA (72 nucleotides) under Candidatus Amesiibacteriota bacterium. RNAcentral's name for it is "Candidatus Amesbacteria bacterium tRNA-Val". It matches the Rfam family "tRNA". Rfam says of the family: Transfer RNA (tRNA) molecules are approximately 80 nucleotides in length. Their secondary structure includes four short double-helical elements and three loops (D, anti-codon, and T loops). Lineage: Bacteria; Candidatus Amesiibacteriota. The record is from RNAcentral.
GGGCAUUUAGUUCAGGAGUAGAACGCCUCAUUGACAUUGAGGAGGUCGGGGGUGCGAAGCCUCCAGUGCCCA